UUGGAGGCUCUAGGGGAGCGUCUUUCUUUGCCCUUCCAGCUUCUAGAAGCUGCCCAAAUUCUGUGGUUUGGGGCCUCCUUUCAAAACCAGCAAUGGCCAAUCAGUCUUACAUCACUCAAACACUUGAGUGUUCUGUCUCCCUCUUCCAUGUUUGAGGACCCUUGUGAUUACACUGUGAAAACCCAGAUAAGCCAGGAUAAUCUCCCUAUCUUAUUAUGAUGGUAUUCAUUCAGGAGAAGGACCCUACAGAUGGAGGGAAUGCAGGAAAGCUAAGAAGAAUCACACCUCAUUGCAGAUCUGCAUUACCGUUGAAAACAGCAGCCUCAGAACCACAGUAGCCAUGAAAACCAUCAGCCUUCAACCACCACCCUUGUAUCAGAGGAGACAAAUAAGCUUGGAAAUCCUCAAAAAGCCUCAUCCUCAGAGCAAUGUCAUUAUAUAUCUUGUCUUACAGCUCC
Molecule: small RNA, 458 nt
Filed under: Pan troglodytes (chimpanzee)
Lineage: Eukaryota; Metazoa; Chordata; Mammalia; Primates; Hominidae
Description: processed transcript
Source: RNAcentral